UACGUAGGUGGCAAGCGUUGUCCGGAAUUAUUGGGCGUAAAGCGUGCGCAGGCGGCGCGUUAAGACAGGUGUGAAAGCCCCGAGCUUAACUUGGGAAUUGCGCUUGUGACUGGCGUGCUGGAGUGUGGCAGAGGGAGGUGGAAUUCCACGUGUAGCAGUGAAAUGCGUAGAGAUGUGGAGGAACACCGAUGGCGAAGGCAGCCUCCUGGGCCAGCACUGACGCUCAUGCACGAAAGCGUGGGGAGCAAACAGG
Molecule: ribosomal RNA, 253 nt
Filed under: uncultured bacterium
Lineage: Bacteria
Description: partial 16S ribosomal RNA
Rfam family: Bacterial small subunit ribosomal RNA
Source: RNAcentral